This 465-nucleotide ribosomal RNA is filed under the name uncultured bacterium. RNAcentral's name for it is "partial 16S ribosomal RNA". It matches the Rfam family "Bacterial small subunit ribosomal RNA", at positions 28 to 507 of the family's 1533-position model. The record is from RNAcentral.
GACGAACGCUGGCGGCGUGCUUAACACAUGCAAGUCGAACGGAAAGGCCCUGCUUGCAGGGUACUCGAGUGGCGAACGGGUGAGUAACACGUGGGUGAUCUGCCCUCCACUUCGGGAUAAGCCUGGGAAACUGGGUCUAAUACCGGAUAGGAGCCAUUUUUAGUGUGAUGGUUGGAAAGUUUUUUCGGUGUAGGAUGAGCUCGCGGGCUAUCAGCUUGUUGGUGGGGUAAUGGCCUACCAAGGCGGCGACGGGUAGCCGGCCUGAGAGGGUGGACGGCCACAUUGGGACUGAGAUACGGCCCAGACUCCUACGGGAGGCAGCAGUGGGGAAGAUUGCACAAUGGGCGCAAGCCUGGUGCAGCGACGCCGCGUGGGGGAUGACGGCCUUAGGGUUGUAAACUCCUUUCGCUAGGGACGAAGCUUUUUGUGACGGUACCUAGAUAAGAAGCACCGGCUAACUACGUG